Molecule: ribosomal RNA, 253 nt
Filed under: uncultured bacterium
Lineage: Bacteria
Description: partial 16S ribosomal RNA
Rfam family: Bacterial small subunit ribosomal RNA
Source: RNAcentral
UACGGAGGAUCCCAGCGUUAUCCGGAUUUAUUGGGUUUAAAGGGUGCGUAGGCGGGUUAUUAAGUCAGUGGUGAAAGCUCCAUGCCUAACAUGGAAAUUGCCAUUGAUACUGAUGAUCUUGAGUACAUUUGAAGUGGGCGGAAUGUGUCAUGUAGCGGUGAAAUGCUUAGAUAUGACACAGAACACCGAUUGCGUAGGCAGCUCGCUAAACUGUAACUGACGCUGAGGCACGAAAGCGUGGGGAGCAAACAGG